GACGAACGCUGGCGGCGUGCUUAACACAUGCAAGUCGAGCGAUGAAACACCUUCGGGUGCGGAUUAGCGGCGAACGGGUGAGGAACACGUGAGGAAUCUGCCUUCCACUCUGGGAUAACUCCGGGAAGCCGGGGCUAAUACCGGAUACUUUCAACUGGCGGCAUCGCCGGUUGAAGAAAGUUUUUCGGUGGAAGAUGACCUCGCGGCCUAUCAGCUUGUUGGUGAGGUAAAGGCUCACCAAGGCGACGACGGGUAGCCGGCCUGAGAGGGCGACCGGCCACACUGGGACUGAGACACGGCCCAGACUCCUACGGGAGGCAGCAGUGGGGAAUAUUGGGCAAUGGAGGAAACUCUGACCCAGCGACGCCGCGUGGGUGAAGAAAUCCUUCGGGAUGUAAAGCCCUGUUGUAUGGGAAGAGCGGAAGACGGUACCAUACGAGGAAGCCCCGGCAAACUACGUGCCAGCAGCCGCAGGAA
This 477-nucleotide ribosomal RNA is filed under the name uncultured bacterium. Its description in RNAcentral is "partial 16S ribosomal RNA". It matches the Rfam family "Bacterial small subunit ribosomal RNA", at positions 28 to 523 of the family's 1533-position model. The record is from RNAcentral.